GACCAGAUGGAAGCACUGCCUUCUAGCUGAUGUCUGUUCCUCUGGGCUGAGGGUCUCAUUCAGUUUGGGGCCCAGAUUCCAAGGGCCCAAGAGAGGCUCUGGAGUGCCCUGCCAAAGGUCUCUCUACCCUCUCUCCUGUCCUCUGUGGCUCCUGCCCCAGCCCUUCUUUCUGGCUCUGUCCUCUCUUCCAGGGCCGAAGUCCUCUCUCAGCCUUGACCCCCUCUCUCUUCAGUGAUUCCUGAGCCAGGUUAAAUCCCAGUGGCCACAGAGACAGCCAGGCUAGACCCAGAGGGGGCUGGAGCUGGCAGAGGGGUUCCCAGGCAGGGAGACGGGGAGGAAGGGGGGUGGCUGGGAAGGUCAAGCAGAGGGUCAGGAAUGAGGUGAUGCUUGAAGGCUCCUGAAGAGAGGCUGCCGCCUCCCCAACAUCCAGCAUGUCCACAGAGCCCUGGACUCGGACCAGGAAGGACAGUCUUCUCCUCCAGGCUACAGAGCAGCCUGUGUCAGCCCUGGGCAGCUCCCCACCUUCCUCUCUCCCCUCGUCAACCUCUGGGGGCUGCUUGGGGAGUGGAAACCCUGCUGUAUUCCACGCCAGGUAAGAGGUUAGCAAUUCAGGUCCCCUACCUGGACCCAGGCAGUUCCCAAGCUUGCUCAGAAGGCUCUGAGGGCUCGCUUCUAGUCUGAGGAGGUGAGACAAGGCAUCAGUGUCGCUUUCUCAGGCAGGCCUCCCUUAGCCAUCCUAAGAAAGUCCCACCUUGCUAUUCUUUAUUGCUGAACCCAGUUCGUUUCCUUCGUAGGGCUUAUAACAAUGUGUAACUAGAGGUAUAUAUUCAUUUCUUUACUUGCUUACUCGUUAUUGUCUGUCUUCUCCACUAGAGUGGAAGUUCCCUGAAGUCAGAUGCUCUUCUUCCUACGUGUUCACUGCGUAUCUGUGCCUGGUGCCUGGCACAGGGCAAGGCAUAAGCUUCCAGUGAAUGGAUGAAUGAUGAAUGACUGGAUGAAGAAACUGAGGACCCAAGGGGGAAAUAACUUGCCAGAGAUGACAUGGUUAACAAGUGAUGGGGAGCAGGCAAAAAAUCCAGGCGCCCCAGCUUCUAGGUCAGCGUUCCUUCUACAGCCCGCGCUGCCCAGCCCCAGAGAUGCCUGUGCCAGCAGAGAUUAUGGUCAGGGAGGCAGCCACUGGGCCAUACUCUAAUCAGGAGUUUUCCAGAGGCUCCAUGAUGUGUGAUAGCCUAACAGAUGGAAUGCAAAACCAGAUAUGAGAAUCUAGCUGCCUUCUAGUAAACCAGGCAUUAAAGAGUUUCACAAGACUACAAAACCAUAGCCUCUUGUCACUACAUUUGUUCUGC
Molecule: long non-coding RNA, 1346 nt
Organism: Hipposideros armiger (great roundleaf bat)
Lineage: Eukaryota; Metazoa; Chordata; Mammalia; Chiroptera; Hipposideridae
Exons: 3
Source: RefSeq, a predicted model, not a curated record